RNAcentral lists this ribosomal RNA (876 nucleotides) under Diaporthe vacuae. RNAcentral's name for it is "partial large subunit ribosomal RNA". It matches the Rfam family "Eukaryotic large subunit ribosomal RNA", at positions 64 to 972 of the family's 3401-position model. The record is from RNAcentral. Lineage: Eukaryota; Fungi; Ascomycota; Sordariomycetes; Diaporthales; Diaporthaceae.
ACCAACAGGGAUUGCCCUAGUAACGGCGAGUGAAGCGGCAACAGCUCAAAUUUGAAAUCUGGCCUCGGCCCGAGUUGUAAUUUGCAGAGGAUGCUUCUGGCGCGGUGCCUUCCGAGUUCCCUGGAACGGGACGCCACAGAGGGUGAGAGCCCCGUAUGGUCGGACACCAAGCCUGUGUGAAGCUCCUUCGACGAGUCGAGUAGUUUGGGAAUGCUGCUCUAAAUGGGAGGUAAAUCUCUUCUAAAGCUAAAUACCGGCCAGAGACCGAUAGCGCACAAGUAGAGUGAUCGAAAGAUGAAAAGCACCUUGAAAAGGGGGUUAAAUAGUACGUGAAAUUGUUGAAAGGGAAGCACUUAUGACCAGACUUGGGCCGGGCGGCUCAUCAGGGGUUCUCCCCUGUGCACUCCGCCCGGCACAGGCCAGCAUCGGUUCUCGUGGGGGGAUAAGACCGUCAGGAACGUAGCACCCUCCGGGGUGUGUUAUAGCCUGGCGGACGAUACCCCCGUGGGGACCGAGGUCCGCGCUCCGCAAGGAUGCUGGCGUAAUGGUCAUCAGUGACCCGUCUUGAAACACGGACCAAGGAGUCGUCCAUUAGAGCGAGCGUUUGGGUGUAAAACCCGCACGCGUAAUGAAAGUGAACGCAGGUGAGAGCUUCGGCGCAUCAUCGACCGAUCCUGAUGUUCUCGGAAGGAUUUGAGUAAGAGUUUUAACGGACGGACCCGAAAGACAGUGAACUAUGCUUGUAUAGGGUGAAGCCAGAGGAAACUCUGGUGGAGGCUCGCAGCGGUUCUGACGUGCAAAUCGAUCGUCAAAUAUGAGCAUGGGGGCGAAAGACUAAUCGAACUGUCUAGUAGCUGGUUACCGCCGAAGUUUCCC